Molecule: ribosomal RNA, 499 nt
Filed under: Nosema maddoxi
Lineage: Eukaryota; Fungi; Microsporidia; Nosematidae
Description: SSU rRNA
Rfam family: Microsporidia small subunit ribosomal RNA
Source: RNAcentral
ACCAGGUUGAUUCUGCCUGACGUAGACGCUAUACUCUAAGAUUAACCCAUGCAUGUUAUUGAAUAUAAAGAAAAGACGAACAGCUCAGUAACUCUUAUUUUAUUUGAUGUAUUAGGACUAUUAACUAUGUUAAAUUAUAGAUAAUAAUAAUACAAUAAGAAUAAGAUCUAUCAGUUAGUUGUUAAGGUAAUGGCUUAACAAGACAGUGACGGAUAACGGUAUUACUUUGUAAUAUUCCGGGGAAGGAGCCUGAGAGAUUGCUACUAAGUCUAAGGAUUGCAGCAGGGGCGAAACUUGACCUAUGAUAUAUUAUUGAGGCAGUUAUGAGUAGUAUUUUAUAAUUAUUGUAAUAUUGUAAGUAUAUAUUACAAGAUAAAUCGGAGGGCAAAUCGAGUGCCAGCAGCCGCGGUAAUACUUGUUCCGAUAGUGUGUAUGAUGAUUGAUGCAGUUAAAAAGUCUGUAGUUUAAAUAAUAAUAAGCAUUGUAAGGUAUAUUGUAU